CAACCAGAUCAGUGAUGUUCUGGUGAAUUGUAAGAAGUCAGCCGAAGCCAUAGUAGUCCCUACAGGGACGAAGGGC
This 76-nucleotide non-coding RNA is filed under the name Salimicrobium flavidum. The record is from RNAcentral. Lineage: Bacteria; Bacillati; Bacillota; Bacilli; Caryophanales; Bacillaceae.